This 187-nucleotide ribosomal RNA is filed under the name uncultured rumen bacterium. RNAcentral describes it as "partial 16S ribosomal RNA". It matches the Rfam family "Bacterial small subunit ribosomal RNA", at positions 340 to 524 of the family's 1533-position model. The record is from RNAcentral.
UACGGGAGGCAGCAGUGAGGAAUAUUGGUCAAUGGGCGCGAGCCUGAACCAGCCAAGUAGCGUGCAGGAUGACGGCCCUAUGGGUUGUAAACUGCUUUUAUGCGGGGAUAAAGUCGGCUACGUGUAGCCGUUUGUAGGUACCGCAUGAAUAAGGACCGGCUAAUUCCGUGCCAGCAGCCGCGGUAAA